GACGAAUGCUGGCGGCGUGCCUAAUACAUGCAAGUUGAGCGAUGAAGAUUGGUGCUUGCACCAAUUUGAAGAGCAGCGAACGGGUGAGUAACGCGUGGGGAAUCUGCCUUUGAGCGGGGGACAACAUUUGGAAACGAAUGCUAAUACCGCAUAACAACUUUAAACAUAAGUUUUAAGUUUGAAAGAUGCAAUUGCAUCACUCAAAGAUGAUCCCGCGUUGUAUUAGCUAGUUGGUGAGGUAAAGGCUCGCCAAGGCGAUGAUACAUAGCCGACCUGGGAGGGUGAUCGGCAACAUUGGGACUGAGAAACGGCCCAAACUCCUACGGGAGGCAGCAGUAGGGAAUCUUCGGCAAUGGACGAAAGUCUGACCGAGCAACGCCGCGUGAGUGAAGAAGGUUUUCGGAUCGUAAAACUCUGUUGGUAGAGAAGAACGUUGGUGAGAGUGGAAAGCUCAUCAAGUGACGGUAACUACCCAGAAAGAGACGGCUAACUACGUGCCAGCCGCCGCCGUAA
RNAcentral lists this ribosomal RNA (513 nucleotides) under uncultured bacterium. Its description in RNAcentral is "partial 16S ribosomal RNA". It matches the Rfam family "Bacterial small subunit ribosomal RNA", at positions 28 to 523 of the family's 1533-position model. The record is from RNAcentral.